GGAUAUCAAAUCUAAUUAGUUGAUUUUAAUUGGUUACUUUUUUAGAAAUUAAUAAUGUAUUUCGUUUUUUAAUUAAAUUUAAUUAAUUAAAUUAGUAUUUGACUUUUUAAUUUUUAAAGAGAUGAAUUAAUUUACUUUUAAAAUUUUAUUUCUAAUGGCAUACCUAUGUAAUUACUUACAAAAAAUAAGGUUAUAUUUAAAAUGUACUUCCCAAAUAAUAUAGUAGGAUUAAAUGAUUUCUUAAUCUGUGUGUAUUCUCCUAAAACAUCAUCUAAAUAAAAACGGAGGGAGUAUUACAUAAUUCUGUUCCU
RNAcentral lists this small RNA (311 nucleotides) under Arabidopsis thaliana (thale cress). RNAcentral's name for it is "ATSL081910". The record is from RNAcentral. Lineage: Eukaryota; Viridiplantae; Streptophyta; Magnoliopsida; Brassicales; Brassicaceae.